GUAAACGAUGUCGACUUGGAGGUUGUGCCCUUGAGGCGUGGCUUCCGGAGCUAACGCGUUAAGUCGACCGCCUGGGGAGUACGGCCGCAAGGUUAAAACUCAAAUAAAUUGACGGGGGCCCGCACAAGCGGUGGAGCAUGUGGUUUAAUUCGAUGCAACGCGAAGAACCUUACCUGGUCUUGACAUCCACGGAAGUUUUCAGAGAUGAGAAUGUGCCUUCGGGAAUCGUGAGACAGGUGCUGCAUGGCUGUCGUCAGCUCGUGUUGUGAAAUGUUGGGUUAAGUCCCGCAACGAGCGCAACCCUUAUCCUUUGUUGCCAGCGGUCCGGCCGGGAACUCAAAGGAGACUGCCAGUGAUAAACUGGAGGAAGGUGGGGAUGACGUCAAGUCAUCAUGGCCCUUACGACCAGGGCUACACACGUGCUACAAUGGCGCAUACAAAGAGAAGCGACCUCGCGAGAGCAAGCGGACCUCAUAAAGUGCGUCGUAGUCCGGAUUGGAGUCUGCAACUCGACUCCAUGAAGUCGGAAUCGCUAGUAAUCGUGGAUCAGAAUGCCACGGUGAAUACGUUCCCGGGCCUUGUACACACCGCCCGUCACACCAUGGGAGUGGGUUGCAAAAGAAGUAGGUAGCUUAACCUUCGGGAGGGCGCUUACCACUUUGUGAUUCAUGACUGGGGUG
This 680-nucleotide ribosomal RNA is filed under the name uncultured Enterobacteriaceae bacterium. RNAcentral's name for it is "bacterial SSU rRNA". It matches the Rfam family "Bacterial small subunit ribosomal RNA", at positions 802 to 1482 of the family's 1533-position model. Lineage: Bacteria; Pseudomonadati; Pseudomonadota; Gammaproteobacteria; Enterobacterales; Enterobacteriaceae. The record is from RNAcentral.